CGGUCUCUCAGACAAAGACCGGUUCCCGAACGCGAAAUUUUCUCUGCCUGGUUGUGCAGCUUUCGGGGACCGGUCUCCCCGAGCAGGGACCGGUCCCUCACUGCGAAAAUGGCCCAGGGAGGGCUGUUUCAGAAAAUGAAAAGUUGAGGGGGCUAAUUGCAAAAUGGCCUAUAUGAGGGCUUGGGGACCUCUUGCUCUCCCUCAGCUGCUCACUCUCUCUCUCACACCUUUCCCUCUCUCUCUCUAGAAAGGAAAAGAAGAAGAAGGAGAGGAAGGAAAAGAAGGAGAAAGAGAAGGAGAAGACUAAGAAGAAGGAGAAGAUCAUCUUCUUCUCCCCCUCUUCAAGCUUGGAGCUUGGUAUUGAGGUAAACCUCAAACACUUUAAUGGUGGAUUUUGGAAGUUAGGGUUUUAUAGCUUGGAAUUGGUUCAAAUGGAAUCUAUUGAAGCUAGGGAGAAGGUUCGAGCUCGAAAUCGAAGCUCGCACCGCGGAUUUCUCCAGUAUUGAGAUCUAGGGCUCAGAAAUGGGAUUUUGGCGAAUUUAGGGUUUUGAUCUAAAUUGAUGGGUCGCAAACCUAAUUGCUAGGUCUCUGAACGCGUCGGCGAAGACGGUUCGUCGAUCCGUCGAGUAGGUGCGGAGUUAUCGCCAAGAAGACCUUCGGAGCUUCGUUUUCGCUUGGAAGGCCAACGAGGCGUCGAAACGUCGGCGAAUCGCAAUCGAAGAGUCGCGGCAUCACCACGAGGUGGGGGAGUGCCAUCCCGAAGCAGUCGGGCUGCUCUUUAUGUCUGAGUAUUAUUAUCGAUCAUUUACAUAUUGUGACUUAGCAUUAUAGGGUGUUAUCUGUAAUUGUGCAUAUCCUUGCAUGCUAGUGAUGUAUAGGUUGUAGAUACCAUGAAUGAAAACCUAGUAUGCAUGAGUUGAAUACUAUGAGAUAGUUCGCCCUAUAUAUGUUUAUGUAAAUGUGUAUCUAGUGUAUUGGAAACUAGUGUAUCAAGAACUUAUCAAGAGAACGAGUGGCAUCUAGUUAACCCUAAACAUUGAACGAGUGGCAUUAAGUAGUGCAAGAGCGGCAUGAGAACCCUAGUAUAGUUGAGAUACUAUGUUGCUAUCACCCUGGUUGGAUAGGGUGUUCCCAGUUUAUGAGAUUGGAUCGAGCUCACUUAGCCUGUCUGCACCUGUGGAGGUAGCUCCUCACAGGUAGUGCACUCCGGAGUUUGGCACGCGAGGGGGCCAGUGUAGUGCCCUUGGACCAGUGUAGUGUCCGCAGGCGGUCUCGGGGUUGGUGAAUAGCUAGCCACCUCCCCUAUGAGACUUAGAGACGUGAGACUGUGAGCGAACUUUGCGUUCGCCGAGAGAUUGGGUAAUCAGAUAAGUCAUCUUGUCGUUGAACAUGGUAGUGAGUUAGUCAGCCUUCUUACCCUGAAUUUCAUGCAUGCAUUUCACUGGAUUAAGGCAUUGAUAGAUUAUAGUUGCUUAUUACUGUAUUGCUUUCAGUUUCGUAUAUCUAUCUAUCUGCAUAUCUAUCUGUGCCUGCUUAAGACCUAGUGGGGAGAUCGGCGGAGUCGGCGGCCGAACCCACUGGGAACUAUUCGUAGUUCUCACUCCACCACACUGCAGGUCCGAGCUCGAGCGUCCCGGGAGAGGAUCGCGGCAAGGGCGUAGCGCCCUAGAGGUUCAUGUUUUAGUUAGCUAUCCUCCUUUUUGCAUUAGCCCUACCCUGUAUUUAUGUUCGAGCGUAGAUGUUGUAUAGGGUGAGGUUGAGAGGAUUAUGUAUACAUUGUACAGUUUUGGAAGAAUACAAGUUGUAAUAAUUGUAUAAAGUUAAAU
RNAcentral lists this long non-coding RNA (1826 nucleotides) under Ananas comosus (pineapple). Its description in RNAcentral is "long non-coding RNA (ACOM_LNC018216)". The record is from RNAcentral. Lineage: Eukaryota; Viridiplantae; Streptophyta; Magnoliopsida; Poales; Bromeliaceae.